Molecule: ribosomal RNA, 244 nt
Filed under: uncultured bacterium
Lineage: Bacteria
Description: partial 16S ribosomal RNA
Rfam family: Bacterial small subunit ribosomal RNA
Source: RNAcentral
CUGGCGACCGGCGCACGGGUGAGUAACACGUAUCCAACCUGCCGAUAACUCGGGGAUAGCUUUUCGAAAGAAAGAUUAAUACCCGAUGGCAUAAUUAGGCCGCAUGGUCUUAUUAUUAAAGAAUUUCGGUUAUCGAUGGGGAUGCGUUCCAUUAGGCAGUUGGUGAGGUAACGGCUCACCAAACCUUCGAUGGAUAGGGUUCUGAGAGGAAGGUCCCCCACAUUGGAACUGAGACACGGUCCAA